This is a long non-coding RNA of Daucus carota subsp. sativus, 2254 nucleotides long. RefSeq lists it as uncharacterized. The transcript is spliced from 13 exons. The record is from RefSeq and is a predicted model, not a curated record. Lineage: Eukaryota; Viridiplantae; Streptophyta; Magnoliopsida; Apiales; Apiaceae.
CUUUCUGUCAAAUUACUCAUAAGUUGGAUGAUCCAUUACUUACUGGGUAUGACCCAUAGAUUUGUAACACUCAAUCAUGCUUUACCACAUGCAAGAUCCGGUUUCUCACGGGUCAUCCAACCAGAUAUUUGAAAAUCAGCAGUUCAAACUCUGCAUAAUUUCAGGCUCCUAUAAGUCAAAUAAAUAACUGCUUUCCAUAAUCUUUGAAGGACAGUUUACACACACGUUAUUUUCUUUGUUUCACAUUUGCAUCUUCUCCAGAUUUCUAAAUCUUCAUUGUCGUCGAUGAUCGAACAGGGUGCAUCUCCAGUGUUUUCGUUUGAUUGUGUCAUAGCCGUUGUCGUUUCUUUUUGUUUUCUGUGAAUGGGUUUUAACUGGUUGUUUAGACAAAUUUGCGAGCAGAUCGUAAGCGCGUCCCUUUCGGUGUGGUUUCGCCUUCGUCUGAUUCUGGCGUUACACAUGUCAUUGGUCCAAAUCCGUGAAUCAGAGUGAUGCAUUCAAGCUCACAACACCAGCACAAGCCAGGGAGAAGACUUUAUUGCAAGAGAGUGUAGAUCAGAUAUAUUUCCACCACCAUAUAGUUCAUAUCUAAGUUUUUAAUUUUUGGAGCUAUGGAAUGGCCGCGUACUGUCUUGGAACAGAAGGCAGAGGAAAUUAAAUGUUUUUUUCACGGUUUCUGUUAUACUAACUACCAAGCAUGUCCUAUGCCUAUCCUCAAGUUUGCACUAUUAGUCCUAAUCUUUAGUGCGUAGUUACAUCAGGCUGUCACUGUUGCAUACGCUGUAUACCUGCACAAGAUCAGUGUACACCUUCAACCCGCAGUGGAUAAAUAUGUGGGUUAUGUUGUAUACCGUGUCCGUGUAAAACAUGGUGGACGCAAGAGACCUGUUCAGGGGUACUGUGUAUGGAAAGCCAACAAACCAAGGUGUGACUCAGCUGUAAUUUCAGCGCAGCAAGCAAUCAGUUGCUGAGGAAUGUGCUGGCCGAAAACUUGCUAGCCUAAAGGUUGCAUCCAUAGACAUUUCUGAUCAGUUUCAUCUUCAUCUUGAAUGGUUGAUUUUCAUCAAAGAUUGUAUUCUAUAUGGUGAUUUGAGCGUAUGGAUCUGACAGGCCGAAAAUAGAAUUCUCAUAGUCCGUUGUCUCUUUUUUGGACAAAAAUGAUACCCCGCGGCAUUACUUAUCUCUCAAUUCCAAAGGGAUGUUGGCAGUUGUUCAGGGAUAUUGCGAUUCUCACAAGUAGUUUGUCUUUUUCAUGAGUUUAUUCAUGUGGUCCAUCAUAUUUGCAAUCGUGCAUCAUUUCCUAAUUUUUUUCAGGCUUCGCCUUGACCCUGACUUUGUAGAGAAUCUGGUGUUAUGAUAACAUAGCUCUAAAGAUAUCUGGUUUAUCAUCAGAUAAGUUAACUUCGGUACAAGGAUGAAAAAUUUAGUAGGUGAAUGGAUGUGAAUGGAUCACAAUGUUGAAGUGGUCAGAACCAGAAGAUCCACUUGAGUCACCUGGUUCCAACUUUUGCAGCAUAUAUAGAAACAUAUACAAGCAUAAUCACCGUCGCAUUUGAAACAGCCUUCCUAAGAAGAGCUUAUAUUUAGACUGCAGUCCUCCGCAGAUUGCUGCCACAGACCAAGUUUAGAGUAUUUAGACCAGCAAACAGCCGUGUUGCAAUAGAGUAUGGAAUUGCAGAGAUUAUGUUUCAGGCCUUCUCAUAUGCUUUUCCAUAUGAUGCAUUCACCUGGCCGAAGAAAGACAUGGAGAUAUACUGGGUCAUCUUCUCUAUGCUGCUAAAUUAGCGGCAGAGAAAGAAGGUAUCGUGGAUGGAUUUCGUAUACUGAGUAACAAUGGACCUGCUGCAGCCUGCAUGCAAGUUGAUACAACUUACAAGCCACAGUUGCCUUCAUUAAACUCUUACUCAUAGACUAAGUAUAAGAGUCUUAGUCAGUAAUUUUUAGUUACAUUGUUGUCAUGAUUGAUCUUUGAUUCAGAGAGCUUUAGGAACUGGCCGAAGCACCGAAAAAUAUCCUCCAAAGCUGGAUUAGCGACAGGUUCUUGCUGUCAAGAUUCUGCAUGAAAGUUGACAUGGAGAUUGUAGGUCAAUUAUUUAUGAGAUGGUUGUUUCUUUUGCACAACUGUACUAACAAUUCUAAUUCGGUUCCUGUCUUUUUGCAAAUGGAAAGUUUUCACAUAUUUCUCAGACAAUUUUAAAAUUUAUGUAUAUAAUAAUUUCCUCUAUUGAUUUAUUGCAUGAAAUUUUGAGAUUCA